Molecule: long non-coding RNA, 1218 nt
Filed under: Anser cygnoides (Swan goose)
Lineage: Eukaryota; Metazoa; Chordata; Aves; Anseriformes; Anatidae
Description: lncRNA (ENSACDG00005006036.1)
Source: RNAcentral
UUUGUUGUUACUGCUGCUUUUUAUCAUCAAUCACAGCUAAGCUCUUACAACCUUGUUUCCUCGUCUCCAUGCUUUCUUUUUACAGCUGUGCUUGCUGCUGACAUUACACAGGUUUUAGUCAUUGACAACAGCAAUGGCAAAGGUGACUUGAACAAGACUAAAGUUGAGUGGCCACUGCAACCCUUAGAGGCAAAGAACUCUCCUGUAAUUAAGAAUUUUAACAGAAGUGAUACACGUGGUCAUGUAGCGCCUCUGUCCCAUGUUACUACCUGUGCCAACAGGCCGUGUUUUCCUGGAGCGUUGUGUUUUGAUCGGAAACCCCCUUACAUUGGAUAUGUCUGCGGCCGAUGUCCACCAGGGUUUUUUGGAAAUGGUCGAAUCUGUAGCAAGGUCCCCAGACCAGGUACUUACUCAUUUUUGGAUUUUUUUUUUUUAAGUUUUGCAGACAAAGGCAGUAAGCAAAUAUGAACUAGUAUGGCAUUACACUACAAUGUGCUUUAUAGUCAAACCCCGAAGCCUUUUUUCUGACUGUGAACACUCUUACCUGACAAGAAGCUAGCAGGUCUUAUUUCAGGAAUCUCUGUCUCUCAGGAAUGAGAUUCACCUUCUCAUUUGCCACUAGGGAGAAGUCUUCACAACGGGACUUGCUAGAUGGUAUGAAUCACCACAUCUGUGUUUCUGCCACAGCACUGGCAUAUGAUUUCAAAACAUGUUUCCUCCUCAGUAAGAUGGGAACAUGACACAUGACAGUAUCACUCUGUUUUCCUUGUUUCCUAAUUCUUUUGCUGCAAGGCAUCUGUUCUCCAAGGUGACCUGUGAAGAUGAUGAUAAACAAAGUGCCAUGUACGAACAACUCUACCAACAACUGAACACAACAGAUAAUUAAAACAUUUCAAUAGUAUCCUUCGUAGACUGAGCAGCAUUCUUCCUUUGGGAGUUCUGAAACUCAGACGGUCCCAUUAAUCUCUGAGGACUGAUCAUUAGAAGAGGUCUUCUGCUGUGAUAAAAGAAAAGCUGGGUCCUGACCUCAGGCAGAAAAUGGCAAUAGCAUAGCAACCUCUCAUCAGUCAUCCAAUCUUGCAUUCUCUCAGCGAAAUUCUCAUAAUUCAAUGCAUAGUUCUCUAGGGACAGUCUGGAUGGUUGUCCCCUUUUCACUGCACAGAGCGAUUUGCCAAGAGAACUGAUGUUUACUCCUUAAUAAAAGUAGUUAUUAGGUCA